GAUUCUCUAACCUUGAAUCAGUAAAUUCACGUCUAUACAUUUCCAAAAUCAACUUUAACUCCAUAUCACUUUCCUUCAAGUCUUGGACUUUUGGA
This is a long non-coding RNA of Juglans regia (Persian walnut), 95 nucleotides long. RefSeq lists it as uncharacterized. The record is from RefSeq and is a predicted model, not a curated record. The transcript is spliced from 3 exons. Lineage: Eukaryota; Viridiplantae; Streptophyta; Magnoliopsida; Fagales; Juglandaceae.